This is a non-coding RNA of Styela clava, 3779 nucleotides long. The record is from RefSeq and is a predicted model, not a curated record. Lineage: Eukaryota; Metazoa; Chordata; Ascidiacea; Stolidobranchia; Styelidae.
ACAUCUGUGAGGUUCAAAACAAUAUAUGGUAUCGAUAAAUUCUCAUUGCAAUUUAAAGAAAUAUUUUUAACUUUACUUUACUAUAUUUUACAAUACUUUACUAUAUUUUACAAUAGCUGGAGAAAAACUUGUACAUCAAAAGUGUUAUUAUUCAACUUCCCCCUUUUUGUUGGCGUUAAAUAGACGUCCCAAUGAAACAUGCUUAUUAGGAAAGUAGGAAAGAUAAUCACCAAAAACGGAUUAUUUCAAUAAGUUUUAUUAAAUUUUUCUUAAUGUGCAACAUUGAUAUUAUACAUAUGAUAAGGAAAAAGCAAAAAAAAAAUAAUUAUCUGGAUUCAUUUCCAAUUGUUGAAUGUACUUCUAUUCUCAGAUAUAAAUUGGCCACACCCAAUGCGAUUUACUAAGCAAAAACCUAUUUUGGAAGUAUGAGCAAACGAAUAAAACGUAAGAUGGGUUUCAAAAUAAAAUUUUCAAUAUUGAUUUGCACACUCUGCUAAUAUGAGUCUCGUUUCGAAGCAAUUUAUGUUAGGAGAUUUCUAAAAAUAUAUAAAAACUCUAAUGCACAAGCACUAUUCAACCAGAGUCGUUCUGGAAUGAGGUCAAAGUCAGUACAUUUUGUUAUUAUGCAAUUGAAAGCAAUAUUUGCUCGGUAAUGGGAAUACUUGCAACUGUCAAACCGAUGACUCGAUAACGAUACAAAUAUAGAAGUAAAAUCAACAACUUGCCUCGUAAUAUUUAAGCAACUCAAUAUGUUUUUUCUCACCCCCAACCCCCCAGCACGUACGCCCUCGACAAAAAUGUAUAAAAGAAGCAUAUUACUCCUCGAAGUCACAUACUUUUAUUCGGGAUUCACACAACUGCAGAAAGGGUAUGCAAGCGAUUAAUAUGUCCCGAUUAAGCAUUCUGCUGAUUGCUUUAUACUUUUCGGCAACUAGAACCAAAGCUGACGAUGUUUUGCCGUAUGAAGAAUCUGGUGUGGAUUCAGAACCGGUUGAGGAACAGUGCUGUAUCGAUAUGCAAACUCAAAUCGAUGAAUUAAAAGGACACGUCGCAGCAUUGCAAACACAACUGACGAGCUUGCAAAGUAGAGUAGAACAAAUAGAAGAAACAAUCAACUACACAGACCCAAAAAUAUCAUGCGAACACUACAAACUCAGUGGCUACGAUUCCGGAUACUAUGAAAUAGAUCCAGACGGUCCCAAAGGUUCUAUACCACCGUUUCAAGUUUACUGCAACAUGACAUCAGAUCCAGAAUGGGCCGUUACGAUGUUGGGACAUAAUUCUGAAGAAAGGACGUACGUCUAUGGCUGCCAGGAUCCAGGUUGCUUUUCUCAUAACAUCACAUACAAUCAAACCUGGGAACAAAUCCAAGCUGUCAUGUGGACAUCAAGAUCCUGUCAACAAUAUCUGUCGUACGAAUGUCUUGGAUCAAUGCUGUUCUCUUACAAUGAUUAUGCGUGGUGGGUGUCGAGAGAUGGCGAAGAGCAACAUUACUGGGCUGGAGCCGAUCCAGGUUCAAAUUUAGUUUACAUUUGAUCAUUCGUGUUUUACUUCCAAGAUUUUUUAAUCAGACCUGAAAAAAAUUGUAUCUGGCAGGAAGCAAUAUGUGUGAAUGCGGAAAAAAAGGAACAUGCGAAGGGAAAUCCACUACUUGUAACUGUGAUAAUAAUGACUUAGUUUGGAGACAAGAUGACGGGUAUAUAUCUUCGAAGGAUACUUUGCCUGUAACUCAGCUCUUCUUUGGAGACGUUUUAGGUGCUGAAGAAAGGGGAUAUUUUACUCUUGGAAAAUUGGAAUGUAAAGGACAAGGUAUUUAUCCCAAGUUGCUAAGUCGAGACACCAAUUCUAUAAUAAACUGUGAAUAAAAUAAUAAUUGAAGCUAAUUGAAUAUGCAUUAAAAGAAGAGACAGAUAAAACAGGUACCCAGAUCAUAUUUGAAAUGAAAUCUAGAACUAUUUUCAUUUCAAUGCAAUUGCAAGAAGAAUUAUUUUAUAAUGUACAUAAACAUUUUUACUUUUAUCAUUUUAUCUUUAAAUUCAAAUUUAAUUAGUUGACUUAUAUCUUCCCGUGAGUUACAAUGAAAUAAGUGUGAUUUUCAAGCUAUUCACAUGUGUAAAAGGUAAGUAAACAGUAGAAACGUUUACGUGUGCGAGAGCAAAGGUAUUUCUCUUUGCUACGGUGAAGUUCAUCUGAUACAAUUAAUUCUAACAUACAUUUCGACCGUUUUUUUUUAAAUUUCAGUGAGCACCAAGGAUUGUGCUGGUCUCAAGAAAGACGGAAACCCGUCAGGAAACUAUACAAUAGCUCCUGGUGCUGGUGUUCAACCGUUUGAAGUUUAUUGCGAUAUGGAUUCUUAUCCUGGAACAGGUCGGUACAGAUCGGGAAUCAGCCCAGAUGAGCCUAAACUAUUUAUGUAUAUAUCUUGUUUCAUUCUUUUUCAACUUCAGAAGUUAAUAAUAUGAGAUACAAGUAAUUGCACUCUUGUUGAAUCCAACCUUCAUCAUAAUCUUAUUUUGGGACAGGGAUAACAGUUGUACAUCAUGAUAAAGAAAGUAAGAGUUCCCAACUUACUUACAAUACUGACAACGAUAUUAAAGUCAACUACAAUGUGACUAUGGAACAAAUUAGUGCUCUUAUUAACGGAUCCAAUUACUGCGAGCAAUACAUUGAGGUUAGCUUUUACUUUUUACUUCAAGCAAGGGCUUUUCGCGAAUACUAUGGUCUGGGGAAAUUUAAUCAAUCCAAAAUAUAGAGUAGCUACAACACGUCCCAUGCGUUCUGAACAAACAAACCACUUUUUAUAGUGAUCAUCAAAAGCUCUUGGUCAUUAAAAUGUUAUAGAACACGAAGUUUGCCGCGAAAUGGAACGUUUUGCCAAGCUGUUUCUGGGGGACUUGUUAUUGUGGUUAAUGUAUAAUUCUCAUUGUUCAAAGAUGGAAGUAGUCGCUAUAAGGCUAUUAAUAUCUUAUUUCAUACUUACCCCCAGUUCUACUGGGCACGUUAUUUCACCUAUAAAUGUUCUAUUUUUACGAUAAGUGCUGGUGUUGCGUCAGACCAAUCCGCCAUCUUUUUGUUAACUCCGAGGCUCACUACUAAGCAAGGCGUUACCUCUGCUAGUAUGAAUUGUUACGACUCUGAAUGCUCAGAUAACUGCAUAUUUCCCAAUUAGUGUGAAACUCCCUCAGCGGAGAAAUUUCGUCUUUCUUGGUACAAAAUUUUGCUUUGUAUUAGCUGUAUUAAAAACAAGAUAUUUUGUUACAUAGUUACAUCUUUUCUAUUGUAAUACUCGUUUGUGCACACAUUACAAACUACUUAAAAACUGUACUGAAGCGAGAGGAUCGUUUCGUUAUUAUGUUGUUGUUGUUGGUAUUCUUGUUGUUGUCGUGAAAUAAAUCACCUUUUACUUCAACUACUGGACCAAUUACCUUGAAAUCUUUAGUGGUUAAAGAUUGUUGUUAUCGGCAGAAGUCUAUUAUUACAAUUCAUGGGUCCUAAAUUUUGUAUGAAUUCUAUGAGAUCAGAUAUUUCAUCCAAAAUUUCACUUUUUUAUUCAGGGGAACACCGUUUUAAUUCUGUCAUGCGGUACGUCCUACGUCAACGCUGUCCUCCGUUUUAAUUUUGCGAACUCGGUUCUGUAAGCGUUUGCGACACAUUUCCGUAUGAUUUGCGUGGGUUACCGGCACUGCGGUUGGCGCUCCUGUAGUAUGUGAACCAAGAUGGCGGACACCGGAACAUAGUAUGUGGUGUACCAGGUUAGGGUUAGUCCAUAAUUUUAUUCC